AGAAGAAGAAGAAGAAGAAGAGAAGAUAAUCGAAUAUAAUAAUUAAUAAUAUUUCAAUCAAAAAAAAAAAAAAAAGGAGCCUUUUUAGGCGUGGAAACGAGAAAUUAAACAACGAGAAGAACUUGACCUUGCAUGACAUCAGAAGCUAUCGAUGCUACGAUAACUGAUUUAGAAACUAAAGGUACAUGGCGUAUUGCAGAUUAAAAAACAACAAAAAAUAAGUUUUAAUAAAACAAAUUCAAUCUCAGAAAUCACAGUGAAUUACUUAAACAACAAACCAGAUAAUUUUUAACGUAUGAGAAAGGACAAGUUAAAAAUAUGAAACUGGCGUAUGAUUUAAACCAACGAAUGCAACAUAAGAUAUGAAAUUUAACACGUUGAAUGUUGUGUCAGUCAUUGAUGAACGAAAAGUUCAGUAAAGGUUCCAUCAUUUUCUUUCUAAAUUCGCUUGUUAUUAAACGUGUUUUUAGAGAAAGACAUUUCAAUGGAUUAGAUUCUAGAACCUAACACGUUCGAAUGACAUUUAAUAAAUUAAUCGAAGGAGUUAGGAAACAAGUAUCGUUUGUGACGUAGCAAGAUAUAUAAGGGAGAAGGAAGUUUGAGGCAAGAAUUUUCUUCAGCGAAGAAGUUAACAUUCCGAGACCAGUGCGCAUGACAAGAAGAUCACUGUGGUCAUCAUAUUGCGUACCAAUCGAUGAUAUCAAUAAUUUAAACUACCUUAUCGACCAAAUAUCAGAUUGGUCAUUGCAUAUUCGUUGUUUUCCUGACGAUAAAGUGCCAUCUAAUCGACGGGAAUCAAAAUUCAACGAGUUGACGAAUUCGAUCAGGAAAGUCAACUUAUCAAAUAAAAAAUUGUACGCCAAGUUACAUCAAUGUGACGUGUUCUGUGAAAAAACGGGGACUUAGGCCGAAAUGUUUUCAUUGCUAAUAGCAUAAACGACACACAUAAAAGAAGGAGAAGUCGAAGAAAAGGCAAAGCUGUGGCCCAAGUGCAAUAUGUGAAGUAUAUUAAAACAAUAAUAAUUUUUGAUAAAGAAGCUUUUGUUUAACGCCAAGAAUAAAAGAUUUUAAAAGACGCGUACACGUAAGAAUAGUAUCGUCAAGUAUUCAUAAUUCAUUACACUUUCAAACUAAUU
This is a long non-coding RNA of Polistes dominula (European paper wasp), 1136 nucleotides long. RefSeq lists it as uncharacterized. The record is from RefSeq and is a predicted model, not a curated record. NCBI's taxonomy places the organism in Eukaryota, Metazoa, Arthropoda, Insecta, Hymenoptera, Vespidae.